UCAGAUUGAACGCUGGCGGCAGGCCUAACACAUGCAAGUCGAACGGUAACAGGAAGCAGCUUGCUGCUUYGCUGACGAGUGGCGGACGGGUGAGUAAUGUCUGGGAAACUGCCUGAUGGCGGGGGAUAACUACUGGAAACGGUAGCUAAUACCGCAUAACGUCGCAAGACCAAAGAGGGGGACCUUCGGGCCUCUUGCCAUCGGAUGUGCCCAGAUGGGAUUAGCUAGUAGGUGGGGUAACGGCUCACCUAGGCGACGAUCCCUAGCUGGUCUGAGAGGAUGACCAGCCACACUGGAACUGAGACACGGUCCAGACUCCUACGGGAGGCAGCAGUGGGGAAUAUUGCACAAUGGGCGCAAGCCUGAUGCAGCCAUGCCGCGUGUAUGAAGAAGGCCUUCGGGUUGUAAAGUACUUUCAGCGGGGAGGAAGGCGAUACGGUUAAUAACCGUGUCGAUUGACGUUACCCGCAGAAGAAGCACCGGCUAACUCCGUGCCAGCAGCCGCGGUAAUACGGAGGGUGCAAGCGUUAAUCGGAAUUACUGGGCGUAAAGCGCACGCAGGCGGUCUGUCAAGUCGGAUGUGAAAUCCCCGGGCUCAACCCGGGAACUGCAUUCGAAACUGGCAGGCUAGAGUCUUGUAGAGGGGGGUAGAAUUCCAGGUGUAGCGGUGAAAUGCGUAGAGAUCUGGAGGAAUACCGGUGGCGAAGGCGGCCCCCUGGACAAAGAC
This 727-nucleotide ribosomal RNA is filed under the name Enterobacter hormaechei subsp. xiangfangensis. Its description in RNAcentral is "bacterial SSU rRNA". It matches the Rfam family "Bacterial small subunit ribosomal RNA", at positions 24 to 740 of the family's 1533-position model. Lineage: Bacteria; Pseudomonadati; Pseudomonadota; Gammaproteobacteria; Enterobacterales; Enterobacteriaceae. The record is from RNAcentral.